RNAcentral lists this long non-coding RNA (1102 nucleotides) under Homo sapiens (human). Its description in RNAcentral is "HSALNT0044450". The record is from RNAcentral. Lineage: Eukaryota; Metazoa; Chordata; Mammalia; Primates; Hominidae.
UAGAACCUUGACAGAAUAUGUGGCACAGCUAUUUGAGGACUCUGAAAUGUAGACAGAAACAAACAGGUAGAACAUUGUAAAUUAAUGUACCUCCAGAACAGCAGCAACCCUGCAGUGGUAGUAGUGGUGACAGCAGCAGCGGCAAUGAUGGAAGCCUGCAGGAGCCAAGAGUGUAAGAAAUGGAAACCGCUUUCUCUAUUUUCUCUGGAGCUAUAGAUUCAGACGGACUUUGACAAGACCCAGUGUCUCAUAAUGUAAAAUUCAGAAUGUCAAGAUAUAAUCCAAACUUACUCAAUGUAUGAUGAAUUAUGAUAAUAUCAACUUGUCAGAAGAAAAUGAUCAAAAGAUGAUAGAGAUGUAGGAAUUAUCUGACAAAUACAUUCAAAUAAGCAAAUAAAAACACUUUUGAAACAAAUGUUAUAAUACAAAGUGUAAAAAGCCUCUAAAAUAUGAAGAAGAAAGAAAGGGUAAUUUUAGAACUGAAAACCCCACUGAACAAACUCAAUGGAAGAAUACAGAUAAGAUAGGAAAAAGUGAGAAAACUUGAAGAUAGAUCAAUAGCUUUUACUCAGUCUGAACAUGAGCCAUAAAGAGACACAGAGAGAGAACAAACAUUGAAUAAAUAUAACAAACAGAGCUGUAGAGACUCGUGGAAAAAGGUCAAAAAUUUUGAAUUCCAUAAGAACAGGGAAAAAGUAUGAUGCUGAAACAAUAAUAAAAGAAAUAAUAGAUUGAAAGUCCUGCAUUUGGUGAAAGACAUAGAUCUAUAGACUUAUGAGGCUGAAUGAACUCCAAGCAGAAUGAACACAAAGAAAUAUAUGUUCAGAUAUAUCAUAAACAAACUGCUAUAAACUUAAAACAAAUAUAUAUCUUGAAAGGAGCCAGAAAAAAACAGUUCAUUAUUUAUAGUUAUCUUAACAGUCUGCAACAAUAUACUGAGAGAAGCACUAACGAAACUGCAUUUCUCUGUCAUGCUGUGCCAGCUGUAGUAUGUGGGAAACCUUGUCUCUCCCAAGUACCUUCUGUCUCUGGCAGCUCCAUGUAAACUUCAGGAAUGGAAAAGAAGAAGCAUUUCUAUAUGAGUAAAUUUUUUCAGUUAAAG